This is a long non-coding RNA of Pyrgilauda ruficollis (rufous-necked snowfinch), 405 nucleotides long. RefSeq lists it as uncharacterized. The record is from RefSeq and is a predicted model, not a curated record. The transcript has 3 exons. NCBI's taxonomy places the organism in Eukaryota, Metazoa, Chordata, Aves, Passeriformes, Passeridae.
CUUGCUUUGUGGAGGGAUUUUGGAGGGUUUUACAGGAGUUUUAAGACUCUUAAUGUUUUUUUUUAAAUUUAUUUUUCUAGGUGUUAUAUCAUGGAAUCGCCAUCCGUGGGUUCCCCAUGGCCCCUCCCCAGUGGGAGAAGCUGCAGCCCAGGGUGAUCUUCGGGCCACCAUGAAGUGACCGCAGUGCCCCCAACUCAGUGCGAGAUGCCUCACCCUGAGGUGACCCCUGGACCGCAGUGCCCCCAGCUCAGGUCAGAGCCCCCCUGAAACGCCCAAAUCCCCCCCCAGCCCCCCCAUUCCGAAGCGAUGACACCCCCUGAGCUGGAGGAUGAAUCCGAUGGCAGCAGAGUUACCAAAGCCCUGAUCGGAUUUGGGGAGGGGGCUGCACCCCCCUGCCGGGGACUG